AUCAGUCACACUGGAACUGGAACGCGGUCCAGNCUCCUACGGGAGGCAGCAGUGAGGAAUUUUGCGCAAUGGGGGCAACCCUGACGCAGCGACGCCGCGUGAGUGAAGAAGGCCNNUGGGUCGUAAAGCUCUGUCACAGGAAGAAAUUAGGAUCUAUUAAUAGUGGGUUCUAUUGACGGUACUUUUGGAGGAAGCGCCGGCU
This 202-nucleotide ribosomal RNA is filed under the name bacterium enrichment culture. RNAcentral's name for it is "partial 16S ribosomal RNA". It matches the Rfam family "Bacterial small subunit ribosomal RNA", at positions 303 to 498 of the family's 1533-position model. The record is from RNAcentral.